This 350-nucleotide ribosomal RNA is filed under the name uncultured Prevotella sp. RNAcentral's name for it is "bacterial SSU rRNA". It matches the Rfam family "Bacterial small subunit ribosomal RNA", at positions 355 to 702 of the family's 1533-position model. Lineage: Bacteria; Pseudomonadati; Bacteroidota; Bacteroidia; Bacteroidales; Prevotellaceae. The record is from RNAcentral.
UGAGGAAUAUUGGUCAAUGGACGAGAGUCUGAACCAGCCAAGUAGCGUGCAGGAUGACGGCCCUAUGGGUUGUAAACUGCUUUUGUACGGGGAUAAAGUGAGCCACGUGUGGUUUAUUGCAGGUACCGUACGAAUAAGGACCGGCUAAUUCCGUGCCAGCAGCCGCGGUAAUACGGAAGGUCCGGGCGUUAUCCGGAUUCAUUGGGUUUAAAGGGAGCGUAGGCCGCCCCUUAAGCGUGUUGUGAAAUGCCGCGGCUCAACCGUGGCACUGCAGCGCGAACUGGGGGGCUUGAGUGCGCGCAGCGAAGGCGGAAUUCGUGGUGUAGCGGUGAAAUGCUUAGAUAUCACGA